This 87-nucleotide transfer RNA is filed under the name Ignavibacteriae bacterium HGW-Ignavibacteriae-4. Its description in RNAcentral is "tRNA-Leu". It matches the Rfam family "tRNA". Rfam says of the family: Transfer RNA (tRNA) molecules are approximately 80 nucleotides in length. Lineage: Bacteria; Pseudomonadati; Ignavibacteriota. RNAcentral also lists the same sequence under 4 other names. The record is from RNAcentral.
GCGGACGUGGCGGAAUUGGUAGACGCGCUAGACUUAGGAUCUAGUGGGCUUAAGCUUGUGAGAGUUCGAGUCUCUCCGUCCGUACCA